This 69-nucleotide transfer RNA is filed under the name Sarcohyla labeculata. Its description in RNAcentral is "Plectrohyla calthula tRNA-Val". It matches the Rfam family "tRNA". From Rfam's summary of the family: Transfer RNA (tRNA) molecules are approximately 80 nucleotides in length. Their secondary structure includes four short double-helical elements and three loops (D, anti-codon, and T loops). The record is from RNAcentral. Lineage: Eukaryota; Metazoa; Chordata; Amphibia; Anura; Hylidae. RNAcentral also lists the same sequence under 1 other name.
CAAAAUGUAGCUUAAACAAAGCAUCUCGCUUACACCGAGAAAAUAUCUGUGAAAAUCAAAUCGUUUUGA